CAGAGUUUGAUCCUGGCUCAGAUUGAACGCUGGCGGCAUGCUUUACACAUGCAAGUCGAGCGGCAGCGCGGGGGCAACCCUGGCGGCGAGCGGCGAACGGGUGAGUAAUGCAUCGGAACGUAUCCUGGAGUGGGGGAUAACCCAGCGAAAGUUGGGCUAAUACCGCAUGAGCUCUGAGGAGGAAAGCGGGGGAUCGAAAGACCUCGCGCUGCAGGAGCGGCCGAUGUCCGAUUAGCUAGUUGGUGGGGUAAAGGCUUACCAAGGCGACGAUCGGUAGCUGGUCUGAGAGGAUGAUCAGCCACACUGGGACUGAGACACGGCCCAGACUCCUACGGGAGGCAGCAGUGGGGAAUUUUGGACAAUGGGGGCAACCCUGAUCCAGCCAUGCCGCGUGAGUGAAGAAGGCCUUCGGGUUGUAAAGCUCUUUCGGACGGAACGAAAUGGGCGGGACUAAUACUCCUGUCCGAUGACGGUACCGUAAGAAGAAGCACCGGCUAACUACGUGCCAGCAGCCCCGGUCAA
This 522-nucleotide ribosomal RNA is filed under the name uncultured bacterium. RNAcentral's name for it is "bacterial SSU rRNA". It matches the Rfam family "Bacterial small subunit ribosomal RNA", at positions 8 to 524 of the family's 1533-position model. The record is from RNAcentral.